RNAcentral lists this long non-coding RNA (1311 nucleotides) under Struthio camelus australis. RNAcentral's name for it is "lncRNA (ENSSCUG00000010261.1)". Lineage: Eukaryota; Metazoa; Chordata; Aves; Struthioniformes; Struthionidae. The record is from RNAcentral.
AUGAUACCAUAUAAUAUGCCUUCCUUGCUGAUUCUUUCUCUUCUAUCGAUUGGUCCUACACUGCAGGUGUGAUAGACCAGGAUGCUUACCCUCCUCUAACCCUUUGGGCACUCUGAAGAAACUAAUGCAUUUGUCAAAUGGCAAAAAUAAGCGUCGUAGCGAGUCAAUUGAGAGAUGUCAAAAGAAAUGGAAAAUUUGCAGUGCCAGGACCACCAACAGGUCUUCGUCUUGGAGGCAACAGAAGUCCAAGACCAAAUAUAAAUACCUGGCUAUAUGCAAAUGCCAUUUUUAGGAGGCAGCACGCGUCAUAGAACUGGAGUAUGAGUUAGGAUCAUCCGAUCUGACUUUCCAGGCCUCACCAAGUCAUGUAACAAAGGAAAGUACCCAAUAGCUGUUUCCUAGCUGUGGGAGAAGGCUGUGCUGCUGUCAUGCAGACAGAAGUUGAGUCCAUCUUUACUACUUAAUACUGCUAAGCCAAUUAUAUUUUAUGAGUAUGCUUUCUUAUAUUAAUCUGAGAUUUUUUCCUUAUUAACCAAGAAUUCAUCAUGAUACUAGUUCUCCCUGCCCUUGUCAUCUGAUCUUUACCUGUCUUUAAGUACUGCUUAAAUACUCUUCUGAUGGCUCUAUAAUUGAGGAAUAGCUAAAAAAGCCAUACAAAUGCUGAUACUUUUCACCAGGCUCAUCUUUUCUGCCCUUUCUUUCAGCCCUUACGCCACUUUCUUAACUAGUUUAAAACAUAUUGACAUAUGUCUUACAUGAUAACUUGCCCAAAUCAUGAUUGUAUGAUCACGGCUGACAAUCUAGUCUCAGGUUGUUGGUGAAAAUUAGGUCAAGUGAUCACUACCUUGUGUGCCUAAAAUAGCUUUUCUAUUAUGCUGCUCUGUGCUAGAAAAUUAGCAUGAGACUUAAUUGCUUUGUGCAACCUUAGCAGCCUCUGUUACCCUAAAGGCUGACACUUCUCAAACUGCUUUUGUUCAUUUUAACCCUGCUUUCUUUGCUUACCUUACGGUCUUGGUCUCAUUUUUGUUUCAAGCAAUGCUACUUCUGGCAUUUCAGCAGAAUAGAAGAAGGCGGUAAUUUUCAUUAAUACUAUGCUCAGGCUCUUUGCUUGUGAAAACUGGCCUGUUUCCUCUUAAGUUGCUGGGUAUCUGGCAGUUUUACAUGCAUUUGAUCAGACAUUUAAUCUGUCAGAUGGAAUAACGUAGGAUCAGUUUGAUGGAUGAGUUGCAGAACACAUACUAUCCCUGUAGUAGGAAUAGCUGAAACGUCUGAUAACCAUACUUUAUACCAGGCUCUACCUCAUUUUUAUGU